CCCUUAGAUGUCCUGGGCCGCACGCGCGCUACACUGAGUGUCUGAGAUACGAGUCUGCCUGGUCCGGCAAGGUCUAGGUAAUCGCUAAAAGACACAUCAUGCUUGGGAUAGAUUAUUGCAAAUAUUAAUCUUGAACGAGGAAUUCCUAGUAAGCGCAAGUCAACAGCUUGCGUUGAUUACGUCCCUGCCCUUUGUACACACCGCCCGUCGCUACUACUGAUUGGAUGUUUAAGCGAGGUUCUCGAACUGCUAGCGAAUUAGCUUCGGUGAGGUCGCAGUGUGGGAAGUGAACCUAGCUUUGGUGUCUAGAGGAAGUAAAAGUCGUAACA
Molecule: ribosomal RNA, 329 nt
Filed under: uncultured eukaryote
Lineage: Eukaryota
Description: partial 18S ribosomal RNA
Rfam family: Eukaryotic small subunit ribosomal RNA
Source: RNAcentral